RNAcentral lists this long non-coding RNA (1084 nucleotides) under Brassica napus (rape). RNAcentral describes it as "long non-coding RNA (BNAP_LNC007081)". The record is from RNAcentral. Lineage: Eukaryota; Viridiplantae; Streptophyta; Magnoliopsida; Brassicales; Brassicaceae.
ACUUUGUGUUUCCAAAUUCUUUUGGCCUAUGCCUAAGUUCCCUCCUUUUAAGGGAUUUGAUCAUCCUUUCCCUUUACCUCCACCUUUGGAGCUUCCACCGUUUCCUAAACCAUGCCCACCACCUCCGGUUCCGGUGUACGAGCCACCCCCAAAGGUGGAACUUCCACCACCUGUCCCGGUUCACGAGCCACCCCCAAAGGUAGAGGUUCCACCACCCGUCCCGGUUCACGACCCACCGCCAAAGGUGGAGCACCCACCUCCGGUUCCGGUUUACAAGCCACCUCCAAAGGUAGAGCACCCACCUCCAGUUCCGGUUUACAAGCCGCCUCCAAAGGUAGAGCACCCACCUCCGGUUCCGGUUUACAAGCCACCUCCAAAGGUAGAGCACCCCCCUCCGGUUCCGGUUUACAAGCCACCUCCAAAGGUAGAGCACCCACCUCCGGUUCCAGUACACAAGCCACCAACAAUCCCUAAGAAGCCAUGCCCGCCUAAGUCGCCGAAGAUUGAGCUUCCACCGCCAGUGCCAGUUCACAAACCACCGACUAAGAAGCCUUGUCCGCCCAUGCCACCAAAGAAAGUUGAUCCGCCACCGGUUCCAGUCCACAAGCCGCCGCCGAAAAUAGUCCUUCCACCGCCGGUACCAAUCCACAAGCCGCCAAAGAAGCCGUGCCCGCCUAAACCGCCAAAGGUCGAGCUUCCACCACCAGUACCGGUCUACAAGCCACCACCGAAGAUAGAGCAUCCACCAAUCUAUGUGCCACCGGUGAUCCCGAAGAAGCCGUGCCCUCCCAAAGCGCCGAAGAUCGAUCCACCACCGGUUCCUGUCUACAAGCCGCCACCGAAGAUAGAGCAUCCACCAAUCUACGUGCCACCAGUGAUCCCAAAGAAGCCGUGUCCUCCGCCGGUGCCAAUCUACGUGCCACCGGUGGUGAUCCCGAAGAAGCCAUGUCCACCACUUCCACCACUUCCAAAGUUUCCUCCUCUUCCUCCUAAAUACAUUCACCACCCCAAGUUCGGCAAAUGGCCUCCGUUGCCGACUCACCCUUGAGAGUUUAAUACAUAUACUUGUAUGUAAUCAACGUGU